UACGGAGGGUGCGAGCGUUGUCCGGAAUCAUUGGGCGUAAAGGGCGCGUAGGUGGCCCGGUCAGUUCGUGGUGAAAGCGCGGGGCUCAACCCUGCGUCGGCCAUGAAUACUGCCGCGGCUGGAGCACUGUAGAGGCAGGCGGAAUUCCGGGUGUAGCGGUGGAAUGCGUAGAGAUCCGGAGGAACACCAAUGGCGAAGGCAGCUCGCUGGGACGUGACUGACGCUGAGACGCGAAAGCGUGGGGAGCAAACAGG
Molecule: ribosomal RNA, 254 nt
Filed under: uncultured bacterium
Lineage: Bacteria
Description: partial 16S ribosomal RNA
Rfam family: Bacterial small subunit ribosomal RNA
Source: RNAcentral